GAAAGAGUUAACUGGGCAGAUACCUGGAGGAAGCACAUUCCAGGCAGAGAAAAUAGCAGGAGCAAAGACCUCAGGGCAAGAGCCUGCCUGGCUGGUUAGAGCAACUGCAAGAAACUGCAAAGAACGAUAAGGAGGCCAGUCCGCCUGGAGCUAGUGCACUCUUAGGACACAAGAGGAGAAUUUGUUUCACUAAAACAAGGGGAUACACCAGGAGAGAGGAAGAAUAGGAACCAGGAGACGGCGUCUUCAUCACAAGAUAGCGGCGGAGGAAAUCCCCAGAAUGAUGGUGAAUCGAGGAUUCCAGAUGACGAUGAUGCCGCAGGCUUAGAGGGACCAGUUCGUACUGGAGCGAGUCGGAGGAAGGCUGCAGAGCGGACUUCUUCAAGGAGAUGGACUCAACAGUUACCUGAUGAGAGCAAAUACACUUGAGAGAAUAUUUACACAGCUGGUGGAAAGUUUGAAGAUACAUUAAGAUAAGUACAUAGAAAACUAAGCAAAUAAAAAUCCAGGGACCCGCCCGGUGGCACAGCAGUUAACUGUGCAUGUUCUGCUUUGGCGGCCCGGGGUUCCCGGUUUGGAUCCUGGGUGUGGACACGGCACUGUUUGGCAAGCCAUGCUGUGGCAGGUGUCCCACAUAUAAAGUAGAGGAAGAUGGGCACGGAUGUUAGCUCAGGGCCAGUCUUCCUCAGCAAAAAGAGGAGGAUUGGCAGCAGUUAGCUCAGGGCUAAUGUUCCUCAAAAAAAGAAACCAAAAAACUAGACCCUUUUUUAAGGGAAAACAAAACUAAAAAUAAAAGUUGCCAAUUGAUUGUAAUACACGUCAUGAUUUCAGAGAUAUUAGUGUGAACAAACAUACAUGUUAGAAUAAAAAUCCAGUAGUUCAUUUAGUAAGGGCCUGUGCAGGGCAGGAAUUUCUUACUUUUUACAUGUGGAAAUCCGCCCCCCCCGCCACAUACUCUCUGGAAUAAUAAUUUGGCUGAGUAUAAAUUUCUUUCAGUCCUGAGGAUUUUCUUCAAUUCUAGAAAAAAACUCAGUAAUUUUCUCUUAAAAUAUUGCUUUUUCUACCAUUGCUUUCAAUUCUCUUUCUCUAGAACUCCUAUUUUAAACAUUUGAAAUAUUUAACCCUUUUUAUCUGUUCUCCAUAUUUUUAACUGCUGUUUCUUUUUAUCUUGUGCUGUAUUUUGAAUGAGUUCCUCAGCUUUCUCUUCCAAUUCCCUAAUCUACUCUUUGACUGUAUUCAAUCUAGAGUUUCUCUCAUUUAUGGCCUUUUAGAUUUCAACUAGGAUGUUUUUCCUUUCAAAGAUUUCCAAUUGGUUAUCAUUCACAUUAUUUCAUUUUAGCUUAAAAAUUUCCUUUUGAAAUGGAAGGUGUGCACUCAUCUCUGAACAUUUCAACAAACUAUUUUAAAGUCUUUUUAUA
This 1418-nucleotide long non-coding RNA is filed under the name Equus caballus (horse). RNAcentral's name for it is "lncRNA (ENSECAG00000038726.2)". The record is from RNAcentral. Lineage: Eukaryota; Metazoa; Chordata; Mammalia; Perissodactyla; Equidae.